RNAcentral lists this long non-coding RNA (2147 nucleotides) under Homo sapiens (human). RNAcentral describes it as "HSALNT0232987". Lineage: Eukaryota; Metazoa; Chordata; Mammalia; Primates; Hominidae. The record is from RNAcentral.
CAAACUAAUUUGGAUCCCAAGCCAGAACUGGCCCACAUUUAUUAAGAUUCUACACUGAAACUAAAAAGACAUGUAUGUGUCUCUCACUUAAAAGAACCCUAAGAACUCUCAGGGUACAGAGACAAUGCUAUUUAAUUCCUCAUCUCUGUACCACUGUAGCGCCUAGCACUGUCCUGCAUAUAGGAGGCAUCAAUAAAUGUUUGCCCAACUGAGUAUCAUCUCUCUACAUAAGCCCAGGGCUAUAAAAAUCAAAAGAAAUGAUGGUUAUAAAAAAUGCUUUGAAACCAUUAUUAUGAAUUAUAUAAGUAUGCAUAUGAAAGUGAUAAUUAUAUUCUGCCCCCACUUUUCCAUCUCUGACAUUCUAGAAGUGAGAGCUUUCUCUAACUUCUCUUGGACCACCCAGAAACAUGAGACCUCAGGUACAAACCAAAUUGAGCAAAUCUGAGCCUGUGGGAAAGGGGUGUGCGUGUAAAGCUGAAGCAGGUGCCUGGACGACGGCAGGGACAGUGGGAGUGUGCUACUCUUAAGGGCCCAGCAACAAACACCUGGCACGGCUGCUGACCUGGAACUCCUGCAGCUCACUCCCCUAAGCACCGCAAGCUGCAGUCCUCCCAGCUGGGGCUUUCCAGAUCACUCACCCGUUCACCUCGGCUCAAAGCAUCUCCAGAUGAACAAAGUGCGUAGAAAAACUUGGAUUCACAUUGUGGGUUUGCCACUUGUCAGCUAUUGACCAUGUAACUUCUCUCAUGGUCCUGAUCUGUGCAAUGGGAAUAGCACCCAUCUCGAAGGGGUUCCAUGAGGAUUAUAUAAAGGCACACAUAAAGCUCUACCUCCAUGGCUAUGGUCAUGGGUUGGGCAGAUUGAGGGUCACAGCUCUGCAGGAGCCCCAUGGCAUCACAAGGAAGGCACAAACCCCUCCCACACAGCACUGACUCUGGCUCCACAGCGCCCCAGCCCCACCCCACCUUCCCAGCCCCCACUUCCCACAGGAACUCUCCUCCCUGGGGCCCCACUCCCAGCAGGCACCGGCCUCCAGGAAGGUUGCGGUUUCAGGGCCAGCCCUACCUUGGUUGAUCCUUGCCCCUAGACCCAGCAGAGGACGGUGCGCGUCCAUCCUAUGGGACACGGCCGUAACCCCUUCCCCAGCCCCCACUUUAGCACACCCUGCAGAGCAGAGGCCUGACCUGAGCUGGCUCUAAACAGCUCCCUGAGGCUGGAGGCCAGACAGCCACAAGCCAGGAGCAAGAUUCUAGAAUACAAAGCUAUUAUAAUAAGGAGUUUCUCUGCAAGGCCAAAAGCCUCAGACAUUAAUAGAGGCAGAAGAUGAGUUGCAGACCCUGAAGAACACGGGUCAGUCCACUCCUCCCCAAGCCCUGGCUUCCCCAGAUACAUAGAUACGCUCUAGCCUGGUUGUGGAGGACCAGGUUGGGGGUGAGAGGAUUAGAAGAGAACCUCUGUGCACUCUGCUGUCCUCCCUAGAAGAGGGGUGAAACGGAAGCAAAGCGGGCGAUUUCUCCAGCCCCAGUCAUGGACCUCGCCUCCUCCACCGGGCUGGUAUGACCUCUGCCUGUAAUCUUUCAGUCCUCCUGCCCAGCCAAGCUACCAAGGUGGGGUGUCCGCCAGAACCACUGGGGCCAGGCAAUAUGAUGACAGCAACAGUCCAGGCUGCAGGUAUGGAGGCCUACUUUGUACCAGGCAAAUCCCUCCAAAGGGCUCCUAUGUUAUCAGUGGGGUAGGGACACCACAACUGACCAUUUGACCCCCCCCUUCCCUUUUUUUUUUUUUUUUUUUUGAGAUGAAGUUUUGCUCUUUCACCCAAGCUAGAGUGAAAUGGCAUGAUCUCGGUUCACUGCAACCUCUGUCCCCGGGUUCAAACUUCCAUCAACUAGGCCAACUUCUUAUCAGUUUCUAUUCUUGUGGCCCAGUGGGAGGAUGGAACCAGGUGGGGAGACUUCUAUAGUUUCUGCCAAGAUCAAAUGUUGGAGAAAGCCUUUUGUAUGGCAGUUCGUGGGCUAAACUGGCCUGAGCAGCAUGGCAAGAGGUAGGUCAUAUUACAAGGCCUACAUGGAACAAGGCUGCACUCCUAAAAGGUCCAGUCACAUAGGUGCCAAUCACCUGGGAGACCUAGGGAAACAGGCAUCCCUCCC